UACGUAGGGUGCGAGCGUUAAUCGGAAUUACUGGGCGUAAAGCGUGCGCAGGCGGUUUUUUAGGACAGGCGUGAAAUCCCCGGGCUUAACCUGGGAACUGCGCUUGUGACUGGAAGGCUAGAGUACGGCAGAGGGGGGUGGAAUUCCACGUGUAGCAGUGAAAUGCGUAGAGAUGUGGAGGAACACCGAUGGCGAAGGCAGCCCCCUGGGCCGAUACUGACGCUCAUGCACGAAAGCGUGGGGAGCAAACAGG
RNAcentral lists this ribosomal RNA (253 nucleotides) under uncultured bacterium. RNAcentral's name for it is "partial 16S ribosomal RNA". It matches the Rfam family "Bacterial small subunit ribosomal RNA", at positions 524 to 776 of the family's 1533-position model. The record is from RNAcentral.